GGGGUUAAAUUGUACGCGGGCUGGACCUCUCGGGGUUACAGCCUUGCUGAAUUAUUCACCCUUGUCUUUUGCGUACUUCUUGUUUCCUUGGUGGGUUCGCCCACCACUAGGACAAACAUAAACCUUUUGUAAUUGCAAUCAGCGUCAGUAACAAAUUAAUAAUUACAACUUUCAACAACGGAUCUCUUGGUUCUGGCAUCGAUGAAGAACGCAGCGAAAUGCGAUAAGUAGUGUGAAUUGCAGAAUUCAGUGAAUCAUCGAAUCUUUGAACGCACAUUGCGCCCUUUGGUAUUCCAAAGGGCAUGCCUGUUCGAGCGUCAUUUGUACCCUCAAGCUUUGCUUGGUGUUGGGCGUCUUGUCUCUAGCUUUGCUGGAGACUCGCCUUAAAGUAAUUGGCAGCCGGCCUACUGGUUUCGGAGCGCAGCACAAGUCGCACUCUCUAUCAGCAAAGGUCUAGCAUCCAUUAAGCCUUUUUUUCAACUUUUGACCUCGGAUCAGGUAGGGAUACCCGCUGAACUUAAGCAUAUCAAUAAGCCGGAGGAA
RNAcentral lists this ribosomal RNA (543 nucleotides) under Alternaria tenuissima. Its description in RNAcentral is "eukaryotic LSU rRNA". The stretch from base 167 to 320 matches the Rfam family "5.8S ribosomal RNA". The record is from RNAcentral. Lineage: Eukaryota; Fungi; Ascomycota; Dothideomycetes; Pleosporales; Pleosporaceae.